This 232-nucleotide ribosomal RNA is filed under the name uncultured bacterium. RNAcentral describes it as "partial 16S ribosomal RNA". It matches the Rfam family "Bacterial small subunit ribosomal RNA", at positions 15 to 244 of the family's 1533-position model. The record is from RNAcentral.
GAUCAUGGCUCAGAUUGAACGCUGGCGGCAGGCCUAACACAUGCAAGUCGAACGGUAACAGGAAGCAGCUUGCUGCUUCGCUGACGAGUGGCGGACGGGUGAGUAAUGUCUGGGAAACUGCCUGAUGGAGGGGGGAUAACUACUGAAACGGUAGCUAAUACCGCAUAACGUCGCAAGACCAAAGAGGGGGACCUCGGCCUCUUGCCAUCGAGUGUGCCCNCGAUGGGAUUAG